CUGCCGUGCAAAGGGGAGUAACUUCAUUGCCGGUUAAUCGUCAUUACGGUGCGCAAGCACCCGGUUACCGGGCAACCUGAUGUCAGGGCGCACUAAGGUGCACCUUCAUCAAUGUUGUAAGUGAGACCUUGCCGGAAGG
This 139-nucleotide unclassified non-coding RNA is filed under the name Serratia proteamaculans. RNAcentral's name for it is "yybP-ykoY". Lineage: Bacteria; Pseudomonadati; Pseudomonadota; Gammaproteobacteria; Enterobacterales; Yersiniaceae. The record is from RNAcentral.